This 253-nucleotide ribosomal RNA is filed under the name uncultured bacterium. RNAcentral describes it as "partial 16S ribosomal RNA". It matches the Rfam family "Bacterial small subunit ribosomal RNA", at positions 524 to 776 of the family's 1533-position model. The record is from RNAcentral.
UACGAAGGGUGCAAACGUUGCUCGGAAUUAUUGGGCGUAAAGCGCACGUAGGCGGCUUAGCAAGUCGGAAGUGAAAGCCCUCGGCUCAACCAAGGAAGUGCUUUCGAAACUGCUGAGCUUGAGUACUUAAGAGGAUCGCGGAAUUCCCGGUGUAGAGGUGAAAUUCGUAGAUAUCGGGAGGAGCACCAGUGGCGAAGGCGGCGAUCUGGGAAGAUACUGACGCUGAGGUGCGAAAGCGUGGGGAGCAAACAGG